AUGCCUUAAACUGAUUAGUAAGGAAAAUAAUGACACAGGGUGGCACCUGUGUCCUCAUUUAGUUUAUGAGGUGAAUUUUUAGAUGAAUUUUUGUUAGGCAGCAUGGUGGCCCAUUGGUUAUUGCUGUUGCCUCACAG
Small nuclear RNA from Lampris incognitus (smalleye Pacific opah), 137 nucleotides. RefSeq annotates it as U12 minor spliceosomal RNA. NCBI's taxonomy places the organism in Eukaryota, Metazoa, Chordata, Actinopteri, Lampriformes, Lampridae. The record is from RefSeq and is a predicted model, not a curated record. The transcript has a single exon.